Ataeniobius toweri is the source of this 96-nucleotide non-coding RNA. The record is from the annotation of a GenBank genome assembly. NCBI's taxonomy places the organism in Eukaryota, Metazoa, Chordata, Actinopteri, Cyprinodontiformes, Goodeidae.
GGCAGUGAAGGGUGGCUCAGUUGGUGGAGCAGAGGCUCUAGGUGCGGAGGCUAUAGUCCUCAACUUGUUCUGGGUUCAGUCCCCAGUCUUGGGCCA